Molecule: long non-coding RNA, 806 nt
Organism: Trichechus manatus latirostris (Florida manatee)
Lineage: Eukaryota; Metazoa; Chordata; Mammalia; Sirenia; Trichechidae
Exons: 3
Source: RefSeq, a predicted model, not a curated record
AUCCAGCCGUCUCCUUUGCAGGCCAAGAACCGUAGAUGACCAAGUGAACAAAGAAGCCUCUUGGUGCCCAGGAUCAGUCCACAACAAUCAGACUCUGUGGGCUCAACCUCCCUGCAAGCGGGCAGUGAAGGAUGGGUAUAAAACAGAAAGAGAGAAAAACUGCUCUCAGCCACCUCACUAACAGGUUUCAAGAUAUACGAACUCAGACAAUGAAAAGUAUCUGCAACUAGAUACAGUUUUCAUUCUAAAAAAAGCUCUUCCCACUCUUCCAUUUGCCACAUGACACUUCUGACCAGCAAUGUACAGACACAAGUAACAUUUGUGGGACCUCAGAGCCAAACAGUUCAGUUACGAAAUUGAAGGCCAGGAGAGAAGCAGGGACCAGAGGUCUAGAUUUGGAAGUUAACAGCAAAACUAUUGAUUUAAAAACCAUGAGAGUGUAUGAAAAUGCCCAAUAAUUGUGAGCUUGGUUAGAACAGCCUGGAACAACUUGGUGGACAUUAAUGUUUAAACAACGGGCAGCAAAAGAGGAGGAAGAAGAACUCAUGAGGGAGCGCACAGAGAAGAAGAGACCAGUAUAAAGAUUAUUGGUAAUUUUUUCCCAAGAGGUUUCAGUGGCAAGAUAGACACAAAAUUCAGAUUGCUGUGUGUUUUACAGUGAAACUGAACUAAGAAAGUAGUGCAUUGGUGAGUAGCAUCUGGAGUCUUAAAGCUUAUGAGCAGCCAUCUAAGAUAUUCCACUGGUCUCAUCCCAUCAGGAGCAAGUGAAAAUGAAGAAAACUAAAGAUACAAGGGAAAGAUUAGUC